AUACGGAGGGGGUUAGCGUUGUUCGGAAUUACUGGGCGUAAAGCGCACGUAGGCGGACUGGAAAGUUGGGGGUGAAAUCCCGGGGCUCAACCUCGGAACUGCCUCCAAAACUUCCAAUCUAGAGAUCGAGAGAGGUGAGUGGAAUUCCAAGUGUAGAGGUGAAAUUCGUAGAUAUUUGGAGGAACACCAGUGGCGAAGGCGGCUCACUGGCUCGAUACUGACGCUGAGGUGCGAAAGCGUGGGGAGCAAACAGGAUUAGAUACCCUAGUAGUCC
Molecule: ribosomal RNA, 274 nt
Filed under: uncultured bacterium
Lineage: Bacteria
Description: partial 16S ribosomal RNA
Rfam family: Bacterial small subunit ribosomal RNA
Source: RNAcentral